Molecule: ribosomal RNA, 497 nt
Filed under: uncultured bacterium
Lineage: Bacteria
Description: partial 16S ribosomal RNA
Rfam family: Bacterial small subunit ribosomal RNA
Source: RNAcentral
GAUGAACGCUGGCGGCGUGCCUAAUACAUGCAAGUCGAGCGAACGGACGAGAAGCUUGCUUCUCUGAUGUUAGCGGCGGACGGGUGAGUAACACGUGGAUAACCUACCUAUAAGACUGGGAUAACUUCGGGAAACCGGAGCUAAUACCGGAUAAUAUUUUGAACCGCAUGGUUCAAAAGUGAAAGACGGUCUUGCUGUCACUUAUAGAUGGAUCCGCGCUGCAUUAGCUAGUUGGUAAGGUAACGGCUUACCAAGGCAACGAUGCAUAGCCGACCUGAGAGGGGGAUCGGCCACACUGGAACUGAGACACGGUCCAGACUCCUACGGGAGGCAGCAGUAGGGAAUGUGCCGCAAUGGGCGAAAGCCUGACGGAGCAACGCCGCGUGAGUGAUGAAGGUCUUCGGAUCGUAAAACUCUGUUAUUAGGGAAGAACAUAUGUGUAAGUAACUGUGCACAUCUUGACGGUACCUAAUCAGAAAGCCACGGCUAACUACGUG